Molecule: transfer RNA, 72 nt
Filed under: Heterocephalus glaber (naked mole-rat)
Lineage: Eukaryota; Metazoa; Chordata; Mammalia; Rodentia; Bathyergidae
Rfam family: tRNA
About the family: Transfer RNA (tRNA) molecules are approximately 80 nucleotides in length. Their secondary structure includes four short double-helical elements and three loops (D, anti-codon, and T loops).
Source: Rfam by way of RNAcentral
GGGGAUGUGGCUCAGUGGCAGAGGGCUUGUCUGGCAUGCAUGAAGCCCUGGGUUCCAUCCCCAGCACUACCC